UGAUAAAUUUAUCACUCUGGUUUGUGAGCAAAAACACUUUUUUCCUUUUUUAUUUUUUUAUAAUUGCACUUUUACACCCUAAAAAGUUGGGGUAAAGUUUGAUGUUAGUAAAAUUGCAUAAAUCUAUUGUAUUCUCUCUCUGGAUUCAUUUAUCUACUAAUUGGGUUGCUGUUCUUUUAUGUACUCAGCAUGCAGCGUUGGUUCUUUAGGUAACUUCCCGAGAAUGACACUGAAUUUUGAUCUUCGUUAUACCUUUGGGUCCCUGGCCAAAUGAUGAGGCACAGCAUUUCACAAAAUGAACAGACUCCCACAAUUCAUUUCCCAUUAUGAGGUUCGUUGUCUAUGAAGAAGAGUUCUUCCUACAUUCCCAAAAAUAAGCAAAACUUUUAUAAUAAAUAAAACUAACAGACGAUUAAAUGGGAAACAACAGUAAAGUCACUUUAAAUGUGAUGUUGGUGGAGAAAACUAAAGAACUUUCAUAAAGAACCAUGGAGGAAAAAAAAAGGGUAAAUAAGCUUUGCCUGAGAAAUCAAAACAAACAACAAAAUACGACUCCUUUGAAAAUUUCUGGUAUUUGUAAAUAAUAUACGAUACCAGAAUAAUGCCUAAAUUUGCAUCCCUAAUGUCCUUGCAAAAGCAGUUUUCUCUCCUGAAAGAAAAAUUUGUAGCAUAAUGGCACC
Long non-coding RNA from Populus euphratica (Euphrates poplar), 680 nucleotides. RefSeq lists it as uncharacterized. Lineage: Eukaryota; Viridiplantae; Streptophyta; Magnoliopsida; Malpighiales; Salicaceae. The transcript has 2 exons. The record is from RefSeq and is a predicted model, not a curated record.